GACGAACGCUGGCGGCGUGCUUAACACAUGCAAGUCGAACGGGGCGAAGUGAUAGCUUGCUAUUAUGGAGCCUAGUGGCAAACGGGUGAGUAACGCGUAGGCAACCUGCCCUUCAGAUGGGGACAACACCUCGAAAGGGGUGCUAAUACCGAAUGUGACAGCAAUCUCGCAUGAGGAUGCUGUGAAAGAUGGCCUCUAUUUAUAAGCUAUCGCUAGAGGAUGGGCCUGCGUCUGAUUAGCUAGUUGGUGGGGUAACGGCCUACCAAGGCGAUGAUCAGUAGCCGGUCUGAGAGGAUGAACGGCCACAUUGGGACUGAGACACGGCCCAG
This 329-nucleotide ribosomal RNA is filed under the name uncultured bacterium. RNAcentral's name for it is "bacterial SSU rRNA". It matches the Rfam family "Bacterial small subunit ribosomal RNA", at positions 28 to 334 of the family's 1533-position model. The record is from RNAcentral.